This 309-nucleotide non-coding RNA is filed under the name Pteropus alecto (black flying fox). RNAcentral's name for it is "Vascular endothelial growth factor (VEGF) IRES A". It matches the Rfam family "Vascular endothelial growth factor (VEGF) IRES A". The record is from Rfam by way of RNAcentral. RNAcentral also lists the same sequence under 1 other name. Lineage: Eukaryota; Metazoa; Chordata; Mammalia; Chiroptera; Pteropodidae.
GCUAGCUCAGUCCGGGAGGAGCCGCAGUCGGAGGAGGGGGAGGAGGAAGAAGAGAAGGAAGAGGAGAGGGGGCCACGGUGGCGACUCAGCGCUCGGAAGCCGGGCUCAUGGACCGGUGAGGCGGCUGUGUGCGCAGACAGUGCUCCAGCCGCGCGCGCGCCCCAGGCCCUGGCCCCGGCCUCGGCUCGGGGAGGAAGAGGAGCCCGCCUGGGCGCCGAGGAGAGCGGGCCACCCCGCAGCCCGAGCCGGAGAGGGAGCGCGAGCCGCGCCGGCCCCGGCCGGGCCUCCGAAACCAUGAACUUUCUGCUC